UUUAAGGGAGACCUACCCUUUCGAAUACCGAACCACAUUGAAUUAGGUAACGAUAAGGUCAACCUAAGGUCGAUGAGAAUUGGGGUAGAACUAAAUGGCUUUCAAACUAACUAGGUGAGGGACCGUGGGCUAUUAGCUCAGGUGGUUAGAGCGCACCCCUGAUAAGGGUGAGGUCCCUGGUUCGAGUCCAGGAUGGCCCACCUGUAUCAAUUCAAAGUUCUGACUUUGAAUUUUGAUGGGGGUUUAGCUCAGUUGGUAGAGCGCCUGCUUUGCAAGCAGGAUGUCAGCGGUUCGAGUCCGCUAACCUCCACUGGGAGAAGUCUCUCCGAAGUUAGAAGGAUUCAGCAACUGUUCUAGUUUUCCAACUAGAGAGCCUGCUGGAUUUAGUCCAGUCAGAACCUUGAAAACUGCAUAGAAACUUGUCAGGUAGGUAGUCUUAGUUGACUAGCGGUGACGCUAUCAACGGAAGAUGAAUAUCACAGACACCAAUGUAAUUGAACUCAAGU
RNAcentral lists this transfer RNA (506 nucleotides) under Trichotorquatus ladouxae TAA2-2HA1-27.2. RNAcentral's name for it is "partial 16S-23S ribosomal RNA intergenic spacer". The stretch from base 238 to 310 matches the Rfam family "tRNA". The record is from RNAcentral. Lineage: Bacteria; Bacillati; Cyanobacteriota; Cyanophyceae; Oculatellales; Oculatellaceae.